UUCCGGUUGAUCCUGCCGGACCCCACUGCUAUCGAGAUGGGACUAAAGUAUGCUAGUCGAACGACCAGAACUAUGUCUGGGAGUGGCACACUGCUCAGUAACACGUAGCUAACCUACCCUUAGGACGUGGAUACCCCCGAGAAAUUGGGGUUAAUCCGCGAUAGAUGUAAUGUCCUGGAAUGGUAUUACGUCUAAAGGUAUUUCAUACAUGUUUGAAAUAUGCCUAAGGAUGGGGCUGCGGCCGAUCAGGCUGUUGGUGAGGUAAUGGCUCACCAAACCUUUGACCGGUACGGGCCAUGAGAGUGGUAGCCCGGAGAUGGACACUGAGACAAGGGUCCAGGCCCUAAGGGGCGCAGCAACCGCGAAACCUCCACAAUGCACUUACGUGCGAAGGGGCUACCUCGAGUGCCACCUGAUGAAGGUGGCUUUUCCUAGGUCUAAAAAGCCUUGGGAAUAAGAGGGGGGCAAGACUGGUGUCAGCCGCCGCGGUAACACCAGCCCCUCGAGUGGUGGGGAUGAUUAUUGGACCUAAAGCGUCCGUAGCCUGCCGUGUAAGUUUCCCGUUAAAUCUAGCGUCUUAAGCGUUGGACUGCGGGAAAUACUGUACGGCUAGAGAGUGGGAGAGGACAGCGGUAUUCUGGGGGUAGGGGCGAAAUCCUUUGAUCCCCGGAGGACCACCAGUGGCGAAGGCUGCUGUCUAGAACACGUCUGACGGUCAGGGACGAAAGCUGGGGUAGCGAACCGGAUUAGAUACCCGGGUAGUCCCAGCCGUAAACGAUGCAUGCUAGGUGUUGGGUUGGCCACGAGCCACCCCAGUGCCGCAGGGAAGCCGUUAAGCAUGCCGCCUGGGAAGUACGAUCGCA
This 863-nucleotide ribosomal RNA is filed under the name uncultured archaeon. RNAcentral describes it as "bacterial SSU rRNA". It matches the Rfam family "Archaeal small subunit ribosomal RNA", at positions 1 to 845 of the family's 1478-position model. The record is from RNAcentral.